GAUGAACGCUAGCGGCAGGCUUAAUACAUGCAAGUCGAGGGGCAGCAUGGUUGUAGCAAUACAACUGAUGGCGACCGGCAAACGGGUGCGGAACACGUACGCAAUCUACCCAAAACUGAUGAAUAGCCCUCCGAAAGGAGGAUUAAUACAUCGUAACAUAAUUGAAUGGCAUCAUUUAAUUAUUAUAGCUCCGGCGGUUUUGGAUGAGCGUGCGCCNGAUCAGGUAGUUGGCGGGGUAACGGCCCACCAAGCCUGCGAUCAGUAACUGGUGUGAGAGCACGACCAGUCACACGGGCACUGAGACACGGGCCCGACUCCUACGGGAGGCAGCAGUAAGGAAUAUUGGUCAAUGGACGCAAGUCUGAACCAGCCAUGCCGCGUGAAGGAUGAAGGUCCUCUGGAUUGUAAACUUCUUUUAUGUGGGACGAAACCCUGGUAUUCUUACCAGAUUGACGGUACCAUAGGAAUAAGCACCGGCUAACUCCGUGCC
RNAcentral lists this ribosomal RNA (490 nucleotides) under uncultured bacterium. RNAcentral describes it as "bacterial SSU rRNA". It matches the Rfam family "Bacterial small subunit ribosomal RNA", at positions 28 to 509 of the family's 1533-position model. The record is from RNAcentral.